Pantherophis guttatus is the source of this 2628-nucleotide long non-coding RNA. RefSeq lists it as uncharacterized. Lineage: Eukaryota; Metazoa; Chordata; Lepidosauria; Squamata; Colubridae. The record is from RefSeq and is a predicted model, not a curated record.
AACCCGGCCUUCCUGGAGGCCUCGCGCGGUUUGUUGAGCGUAUAUGCAUGUGCAGCCAUGGAAACGAAAGGCGUCUCUACUUAGCGGCCUCGCCUCGCUUGGGUGGGGCGCCAUAUAUCCGCUGCUCAUCUCAGAGGCAGCGAUUUCGGUCACCGAACGGGAGCGCUCGAGUCGGCAACGGAUAGCUACUGUUUGCCGCGCGCCGCAGUAUCUGUUUGCGCGGCGGUGGAGCGCAACCCUGUCGCUUCUAAGUUCUGGUUGGUGGUGCUAGUGGGUGGGUCUCAUUAAGAACGUGAGUUUGCAAGUACCGAGGUAAAGAGGGCUCGGGAGCGUGCUUGCGCGGCCCAAUUUUUCUCGAUUCACAGAAUACACUGAAUUGUCCACACCUGCUUUCCUUCAGUUCUAUUACUACCAACGCGACUAGUAGUUGGGGGCUCAGUGUGUCACGUGAACGUCAAUCCUUGUUCUGGAAGAAGAAACGUCCCAGGACGUGGCUGCUUGUACUGGAUCGAAGAAGGAUUUUAAAUACAGAAACCGUUUGGGAAGCUGAGCGACUGAUGUGUAAAAUGGUUGGGCUGGAAAAGUCCCACCGAGGUCUGCGGUACAAAGCGCCAAACACUGAGGUGCAAUAAAGAAAAAUAGCGGCUAUGACAGGUGUACUACUGGACUGCAGCUGGAAGCCUUGCAAUAUUAUGUUGCAAAAGGCCAUUUGGGCUGAACUUCACCAGUUUCCAUCAUUACUGAGCUGUGGUGGCGCAGUGGUUAGAGUGUAGUACUGCAGUCUACUUCUGAUCACCAGCUGCCAGCAGUUUGGCAGAUCGAAUCUCACCAGGCUCAAGGUUGUCUCAGUCUUCCAUCCUUCUGAGAUUCACAUUGCCUUUUGGUGUAACCUUUGAUGUCAAAAAGAUUCUCCCAGCAUAUGUAGUUGAAGUUAACAGAUUUGAAUUGCUCAACAUCACAGAAAGACAACCAGAUGAGCUAUGGGAAGAAAUAAAAACAACCAUAAUUGAAGUAGCCCAAUCAAAUAUUGCAUACAAGAAGCCAACAAAAUUGGCCAGAUGAAUAUCAGAAAUUACAAUAGAGACUGCAGAAGAGAAAAGGAAAACAAAAGCCAUUGGUGACAGGGAAGAAAUGCAAAAACUAAAUGCAAAGUUCCAGAGAGAGACAAGAAAAGAUAAAAGUACUGAUCUGAGCAAUCUAAGAAACUAAAGGAAGCAGCCAUGAGAGGUCAUACAAGAAAGGAUAUCAUUUAUGAAAUGUUUGAACCAGGAUUUAUAUCAUCACUCAUCACCAACCACAAGUGUCAAUGCUUAGUCCACAAAAAGGGAUUUCCUUUAUAGUAGCUGCUGAAAUGUAGCAUUAAAGAUUGUUCCUUGAAUGGCAUAGAUAUAAAAUAGAAUUCAAAUGGAUACUCAAUGCAAAUAUAGAAAGUUUAUCUCAUGAAUCAUAUAAGGUAAACAGUCUGAAUAAUCUACAUCAGAUGGUGAAUCUUUGACAUGCUUUCUCUGAUAGAGAUAAAAAGUUUUCCUUCAAAACCAAAGUGAUUCAGGAACUUCCGGUUGACUUCACAGCAGGACCGGACUGGAAAAUAGCGGGCUCUGAUGAGCUGCAUGAAAUCCAGCUGGAUGAACCGCUCCUGGGUUGCUUUUGAGCCAUAGCCGUCUUGCAGGGAUGGUGAAGGAAGGAGAGGUGUUUCGUGGACCGUGAGGAAUUGGCAAUUUCCUUGCUGGAACAGAAACAGCUCUCCCGAAGUGGCAGCAGGGGUAGCGGCCAUCUUACGAUGGCCUCCUUGAAGCUGGGACAACCGGACCUAAGAAUUGAGCUGGAGCAGCAUUUGGAUGGAGUGCUAGAACUGGGUGAGAUAAUUGCCAAUUUAUACUAAGAAAAAAUUGAAAUUGGAAUCUUAAAAGAAAUCCUUGAGCUUGGACUAGUGGCUAUCUGGCAUUUGGGGGGGGGAACCACACAUACGGAAAAAAGAAAAAGUGGGGACUGUAAUACAAAAAGCCUAAAAAGAAGUUUUAGAUCUGGAAAAUUGGGAAAAGCAAAAUAUUUCAAAAGGGGGGGGGGAGUGAUUUUCGGAAGAAAACAACAACUUAUAGGAGAAUUUUAAAAAAUUUCUGGAUAUUUUGAUAAUUAAUUGGACUUAACAGACUAUUUUGCAAUGGAAUAGAAACGAAGAGUGCCAUCUGCUGGAGGAAAGAAAAAGUACUGUAAUACUGUACUUAAAUAGACAAAACAGAAGAAAUAGCAGCUGGAAGCCCUGACCUUGGCCAUAGAGAAGAAGAUAAUUUGGACACUGUGAGAAUAUUUAAGGAGUGACUGUGUUUUACAUCUGAGAUUUUGUUUCAUUUUGCUUCUCUCAUGGAAGAUAGCCUUUUAAUUGGAUUUGACUGUUGUUAAAUUUGGACAAUUAAUAAUUUCGGAGAUCAUUUUAAAUUUGGAAUAUUUGAUGAAUAAGGAAUAAUUGAAGAAGAAAAAGAAGAAAAGAAGAGGAGAUAUAAGAAAAUUAAAUAGACUUUAAAUUUUGGCUAAAUGCAAAGAGAUACAAUUGGGGAGGUUUUAAUAAUCUUUUAAACUGCUACAAAAUGGAGUUGCAGAUAUAUAAAAAGUUAAUUUUGAUGUUUAAAA